UGCAAUUAAUGAAUAGUUAAUGAUUUCUUAACCCCUAACAAGUUUCCUAACUCCCAACAAUCCUGUAUGAGGGUAUAAACCCUAUCAUGCACCCCCUUUCCUGGUUACCAUCACUCACAGUAGCGUUUUCUUCUUCACUUCACUAUUUUAUUGUUUUGAGUUGAGAGGGUAUCCAUUAGUGAUUUUGAUCAGUGGUGGUGAUCGGUGGUGGUGAUCUGUAGUGGUGAUACUUGCUAGUGGGAGGAGGAAGAAGAGAAAGCUCCGUCCAGGUUAGUUCAACAUUGGAAAUAAACACAGUUAACCAUCGUUCGUCGUGCAGUUAAGCUUGCCACCGUUCGAACGACGUUUUUUCUUUGUCGCCCAUCGAGUUGCGGUUUCUCACAACCGCAUUUGGUGUUGCGUUUCUC
RNAcentral lists this long non-coding RNA (407 nucleotides) under Vigna radiata. Its description in RNAcentral is "long non-coding RNA (VRAD_LNC003052)". The record is from RNAcentral. Lineage: Eukaryota; Viridiplantae; Streptophyta; Magnoliopsida; Fabales; Fabaceae.